UAUUUUCUUAGAAUAAAUCUGUUUAUUUGCCACUAUGAUAAUUUGACAUGUUUGAUCAUUUGCAUAUCAUCAUCAUCAUCAUCAUCAUCAAAAACAAGAAGGCACUGAGGCUGCUGGGAUGACAUUCCACGAGGCACAGAUGAGCUUCCCUUCCCCCAAUCCGAACCAGUAGUGGGGGAACGCUAAACUGAACCAAGACCAGCAUCUAAGGGGGGUGUCGGGGUCAAGGGUCAAGCGUUAGAAGCCACUCUUCCUCAGGUACUGCAUCAUGUCGGAGUUGGUAUCAGUAGCAGUGGGCCUCAUCUUAACAUCUAAAGUGUGGUCCCCUUCGGUGUGCAGAUUAUCUCUCAGGACAGUACACUUGUUCCCGCUGAGAUGAAGACCACUGGCGAAGAGAGGAGAACGAUCCAAUGACAUCAUCGCCUUGAUCUCCGCAGCCUGGGGGAAGGGGAGGAGGGGGGAAAUCAUUACGUCGUCAUACAACAGGCCGAUUCAACCUGGAGGACUGGCUGCAUCCCUCCUCCAGUCAUAUAUAUUAGAAUGGUCUAUAGACAUUCAGUAAACACAUUACACAUGGGAGAGAAGGGAGUGAGAGGGAGAGGGAGGGAGAGAGGGCGAGAGCGAGGGAGACAGAGGAGAGAGAGAGAAGGGGGAGAGACUUGCCUGCUUCAGAGAAACUGUCAAAGAAACUCUGUGGACAUUAAAGAUGAUUCUCUUCUACCAAAAAGGUCUCCCUCUCUCCUCUUGCGUUAUCUGCAUGCCUACUGUUUGCUCAAUCAUUUGUGUGUGUGUGUGUGUGUGUGUGUGUGUUAGAGCGUUGUGGAGAAAGACUG
Molecule: long non-coding RNA, 833 nt
Filed under: Salmo salar (Atlantic salmon)
Lineage: Eukaryota; Metazoa; Chordata; Actinopteri; Salmoniformes; Salmonidae
Description: lncRNA (ENSSSAG00000087742.1)
Source: RNAcentral